Molecule: ribosomal RNA, 33 nt
Filed under: Botryosphaeria dothidea
Lineage: Eukaryota; Fungi; Ascomycota; Dothideomycetes; Botryosphaeriales; Botryosphaeriaceae
Also listed under: 1 other name
Description: partial 18S ribosomal RNA
Source: RNAcentral
AUUUCCGUAGGUGAACCUGCGGAAGGAUCAUUA